Molecule: long non-coding RNA, 1940 nt
Organism: Gallus gallus (chicken)
Lineage: Eukaryota; Metazoa; Chordata; Aves; Galliformes; Phasianidae
Exons: 3
Source: RefSeq, a predicted model, not a curated record
ACACAAAGCAAAGAGCUACACUUGUGGCUGUACAUAAGGAUCAUGGUGGAGAAAAGUGAAAGUCCCAUCUUUUCUUUCUUUCAAGUUUUCUGGGUCAUGAGUCACGCUGAGGACUACAGAGAUAGAACAAAUAAUCUUCUGGAGGAGAUUGUUUCUCAGUACUGAAAGAGAGGGAGUUUACAUGAUUGUCUCUAUCUUCAUUCAGUGUGCAGCUCUCAGCUUCUGUUGGUGAGGUGUCUCUCCUACAAAGGCCUUCUUUGCUCUUUACAGCCCACCAGCAUCAAUGGUCAGGAUCACUGAUGGAUUAGGAACUGAUUCUCCCACUGUGUCUGCUCAGAGAACUCUGAAGUAAGUCAAAUGCACUCUAAGAUAUGAAAUUUGAGAUCCCAGCAAGCUGCAACACCAAUAAUACCUCAGGAUGCCAAUCACUGAGACAGCCCUACAGCUCUGCCAAGGCAUUUCCUUUCAUCUGCAGCUCCAGUAAAGGAUUUAAACCACCUGCUUUAAAUCCACUUACUUAACUUCGUAAUUUAGAGGCCCAUGACACUUAGCUGCUGUCACAAAUUAGUUUCAAGCUUUUGCUGAAGUGCUCCUGAAACAACUGCAAGGGUAGGAUUAAAGGUAGCAUUUCCACUAGCAACAGCUGGUGUGGUGCCUACUCACUGUCUGUGCCCCACACAGUCAAAGGGGCAGAGGAGGGAGAAACAGGGAGGGUAGCUAAACCUAGGCAUCCUAGAUCACCAAAUAUAAUUGCUGUCUGUAAGACAAGUGUGACAGAUUUCUACUUUUAUGUCCAUCUUGACAAUCAAUAGUAAGGUUAUGCCUUUUGUCAGAGGAUGUGUUUUUUCAUGGGAGUAGAUUUUUUCAUAUCCUGUGGCAGCAUUUGCACUAUUCAGUUGAUCAACAAGUCUAACAUUUCCAUAUGUGCAGAAAAAAAGUUGCCAUGACUUACUUGCUCAGAUAGAGCUUUAGAAAGGCAGUCUCAAGUUAGUAUCAUCUGCUUAUUGAGUGAAACACACUACUGUGCGACUCAGUAAAAAUUAAGGUUUGUAAGCCAGAAGAGUAACUGGAGAGCAGACACUGUACUUGUACUUAACACAACAGCAAUCAUCAUCCCAUAAGCAUUAGCUGACUUGCCUUCAAUGUUCAGAACUCUCUUCUUCUGACAUUAUCUACAUCUACAAAAGAAUACAUACAUUACAUCUCCUUGACUCAAAACAAUAAUGAACUAGCAGCAGAAAUGCUCCUUACUGUAAUUCAGUACUCCUCUCCUUGCUAUCCAAAACCUGAUUUUAAAUUAAGACCAAAGUCAGAUGACAUAGUCCUUUCAGAUUACCAUUUUAAUGUAAAAAUGUGUCAUUUUUCUGUUCCUGUUUUUAUAAAUGGUACUUUUUGGAGGGUACCCAUUGCAAAAGAUUGGAAAAUAUGUGAAUUGUUAACAUUCAUAUUAAAAUAAAACUGCUAGGACAAUAAUAAGUGGUGAAAAUGCUGUAUUUGUUUUGUCCAUUUAAGACUCAAGAAUGUUAUAGAGGGCACAAUGGUAUAGAAAUGUUUACAGAGUAAAAAAGGUUUCAGCAACAAAUGAGGGAAAAUAUAACAACUCAGGUUGCAGCUGAGGUCUCAUUCAAUAUCCUACUCGAAAGCACAUCAGAAAAACAAUGACUGAGUUGAUUUCAAUGGGAAGAGGAUGAGGUAUAGCCAGACAAAGGUCCAGUUCACACCAGUAAACAAAGAGUGUAAGGUGAAUGAAAAAUCUGACAAGUUGAUAACAAAUCUUGCUGAUAUGCACUGUAAUUAAAUGCAUUUGGAGAUCUGAUUAAUCAUACAUACUUGUUGGAGCUGCAUUACCGUGGCAUCCACAUUGUUGAUCACCAAAAUAUAUCACAAUUCCAUGAUACUGUCACAGAGUUAUCUAGAUAAAUCUGUGCCCAUGACAGGGG